Molecule: ribosomal RNA, 206 nt
Filed under: uncultured Eubacteriales bacterium
Lineage: Bacteria; Bacillati; Bacillota; Clostridia; Eubacteriales
Description: uncultured Clostridiales bacterium partial 16S ribosomal RNA
Rfam family: Bacterial small subunit ribosomal RNA
Source: RNAcentral
CGUGUAGGCGGGAUUGCAAGUCAGACGUGAAACUAUGAGCUCAACUCAUAGCCUGCGUUUGAAACUGUAGUUCUUGAGUGUCGGAGAGGUAAUCGGAAUUCCGUGUGUAGCGGUGAAAUGCGUAGAUAUACGGAGGAACACCAGUGGCGAAGGCGGAUUACUGGACGAUAACUGACGCUGAGGCGCGAAAGCGUGGGGAGCAAACA